Molecule: ribosomal RNA, 253 nt
Filed under: uncultured bacterium
Lineage: Bacteria
Description: partial 16S ribosomal RNA
Rfam family: Bacterial small subunit ribosomal RNA
Source: RNAcentral
GACAGAGGAGGCAAGCGUUAUCCGGAGUUAUUGGGCGUAAAGCGUGCGUAGGUGGCGAUUCAAGUCUGCUGUCAAAGGUCGGGGCUUAACCCCGGAAAGGCAGUGGAAACUGAAUAGCUAGAGGGCGGUAGGGGCAGAGGGAAUUCCCGGUGUAGCGGUGAAAUGCGUAGAGAUCGGGAAGAACACCAGUGGCGAAAGCGCUCUCCUGGGCCUGCACUGACACUGAGGGAAGAAAGCUAGGGGAGCGAACGGG